This 955-nucleotide long non-coding RNA is filed under the name Eutrema salsugineum. RNAcentral describes it as "long non-coding RNA (ESAL_LNC002111)". The record is from RNAcentral. Lineage: Eukaryota; Viridiplantae; Streptophyta; Magnoliopsida; Brassicales; Brassicaceae.
UUUGUUAUUUUGCCUAAAUAAUUUUCCUUUCUUCCCCAUUUUGCGCUUUUUCCUGUCCAUUAAACGAGUUUAAACCAAUCAUUUUCUCGUCAGUUAAAUACUAAUUUGAAAAUAUAAGAAUUUUCAGUAUAAAUUUUUUAAAUCACAUAAAUAAAUUAUAAAUUAGCCGCAGUACGAUGUUAAUAUGGUCAAAACAAGAAAAUCCAAUCCUUAUCCUCAUCCUCAACAAAAACAACAUGACUAAGACUAAUCAUCAUGCAUCUUUCUAUCGCUAUCAUCGUAAUAACCAACAACAUGAGUAAGCUAAUCAUCAGUUGUAUCAUCACUGUCAAUAUAAGUUACUAACUACAAUUACUGUUGUAUAUAUCAUCACUGUCACUCUAUUCCAAGUGUAAAAAUCUGUCAUCUCCCAAGAAGAAAACAACCACAACCCUUAAGGGAAAAACCCAACUUAUGUUUGAUCAAUAAGAUAGUAUUGGAAAAGAGCCUAUCUUCUUCAGGAAUCAAGCCAAAUAAACUGUAAACAGCAAUUGCAGGUUCAGGUUCUUUUGUUCCACUGUUCAAGCUUCCUACCAGUCUCCAAGAUAGCUUCAACAGCUAUAACUGAAAUAAUAGCGAAAGAGAAAACAAAACUUUUAACUUUCAUACUCCUAGAGAAGAAAACAAGAACGUAUAUUCGCAAAUAAAGUUAAGGAAGCCUUCUUAAUCCUAUGCGCAUCAACAAGUGGAGGCAAAGAAUCAAAUUUUCAGGCCCUAAUUAACUGAAAAGAGAAAGGAAUUGAGGAUUUUAAGCACCUGAUGUUUUAGAACGAAGGGCUUUCUCGAGCUUAGGCUCCAAUCCAUAGCGCGCUGAAACCGGAGCAGAGAUGGAGACUAUCUAGCAAACGAAAGAUGACGAAUUUUUCACUCUCUUUUUACGCCGUACUCGGAUCAAGCACCACCUUCUCACACGAAU